AUACGGAGGAUCCGAGCGUUAUCCGGAUUUAUUGGGUUUAAAGGGUGCGCAGGCGGGAGAUUAAGUCGGCGGUGAAAUUUUUCAGCUCAACUGUGAAAGUGCCUUUGAAACUGGUUGUCUUGAGUGUAGAAGAAGAAGGCGGAACUUUGGGUGUAGCGGUUAAAUGCAUAGAUAUCACGAGGAACUCCGACUGCGCAGGCAGCUUACUAAACUACUACUGACGCUCAGGCACGAAGGCGUGGGGAUCAAACAGGAUUAGAUACCCUGGUAGUCCACGCAGUAAACGAUGAUUACUAGCUGUUUGCGAUACAAUGUAAGCGGCUGAGCGAAAGCGUUAAGUAAUCCACCUGGGGAGUACGUUCGCAAGAAUGAAACUCAAAUGAAUUGACGGGG
RNAcentral lists this ribosomal RNA (393 nucleotides) under uncultured bacterium. RNAcentral's name for it is "partial 16S ribosomal RNA". It matches the Rfam family "Bacterial small subunit ribosomal RNA", at positions 523 to 918 of the family's 1533-position model. The record is from RNAcentral.